UAUACAUGCAGUCGACGGUAACAGGCAUCGGUGAUCCCUUCGGGGUGAUCCUGGCGCUGACGAGUGGCGAACGGGUGAGUAAUGCUUGGGAAUCUGCCCUGUAGUGGGGGACAACCCGAGGAAACUCGGGCUAAUACCGCGUAAGCUCCACGGAGGAAAGCGGGGGAUCUUCGGACCUCGCGCUAUAGGAUGAGCCCAAGUCGGAUUAGCUUGUUGGUGGGGUAAUGGCCUACCAAGGCGACGAUCCGUAGCUGGUCUGAGAGGACGAUCAGCCACACUGGGACUGAGACACGGCCCAGACUCCUACGGGAGGCAGCAGUAGGGAAUAUUGGACAAUGGGCGCAAGCCUGAUCCAGCAAUGCCGCGUGUGUGAAGAAGGCCUGCGGGUUGUAAAGCACUUUCAGUGGGGAAGACAAACUUGAGGUUAAUACCCUCGAGUCUCGACGUUACCCACAGAAGAAGCACCGGCCAACUCCGUGCCAGCAGCCGCGGUAAUACGGAGGGUGCGAGCGUUAAUCGGAAUUACUGGGCGUAAAGCGCACGCAGGUGGCUGGGUCAGUCGGUUGUGAAAUCCCCGGGCUUAACCUGGGAAUUGCGAUCGAAACUGCCCGGCUAGAGUAUGGGAGAGGGAAGUGGAAUUCCCGGUGUAGCGGUGAAAUGCAUAGAUAUCGGGAGGAACACCAGUGGCGAAAGCGGCUUCCUGGCCCAAUACUGACACUCAGUGCGAAAGCGUGGGGAGCAAACAGGAUUAGAUACCCUGGUAGUCCACGCCGUAACGAUGAGACUAGAUGUCGGGGGA
RNAcentral lists this ribosomal RNA (799 nucleotides) under uncultured bacterium. Its description in RNAcentral is "bacterial SSU rRNA". It matches the Rfam family "Bacterial small subunit ribosomal RNA", at positions 50 to 830 of the family's 1533-position model. The record is from RNAcentral.